This 440-nucleotide ribosomal RNA is filed under the name uncultured bacterium. RNAcentral's name for it is "partial 16S ribosomal RNA". It matches the Rfam family "Bacterial small subunit ribosomal RNA", at positions 338 to 795 of the family's 1533-position model. The record is from RNAcentral.
CCUACGGGGGGCAGCAGUGGGGAAUAUUGCACAAUGGGGGAAACCCUGAUCCAGCGACGCCGCGUGGGUGAAGAAGUAUUUCGGUAUGUAAAGCCCUAUCAGCAGGGAAGAAAAUGACGGUACCUGACCAAGAAGCCCCGGCUAACUACGUGCCAGCAGCCGCGGUAAUACGUAGGGGGCAAGCGUUAUCCGGAUUUACUGGGUGUAAAGGGAGCGUAGACGGCAUUGCAAGUCUGAUGUGAAAGAUUGGGGCUCAACCCCAGGCCUGCAGUGGAAACUGUGAGGCUGGAGUACAGGAGGGGUAAGCGGAAUUCCUAGUGUAGCGGUGAAAUGCGUAGAUAUUAGGAGGAACACCAGUGGCGAAGGCGGCUUACUGGACUGUAACUGACGUUGAGGCUCGAAGGCGUGGGGAGCAAACAGGAUUAGAUACCCGAGUAGUC